UCCGCAGGCGGGCAAUUAAGUCCGAGGUGAAAUCCCACAGCUCAACGGUGGAACUGCCUUUGAUACUGGUUGUCUUGAGUUAUAGUGAAGUAGAUAGAAUAUGUAGUGUAGCGGUGAAAUGCAUAGAUAUUACAUAGAAUACCGAUUGCGAAGGCAGUCUACUAACUAUAUACUGACGCUGAUGGACGAAAGCGUGGGGAGCGAACAGGAUUAGAUACCCUGGUAGUCC
This 229-nucleotide ribosomal RNA is filed under the name uncultured bacterium. Its description in RNAcentral is "partial 16S ribosomal RNA". It matches the Rfam family "Bacterial small subunit ribosomal RNA", at positions 568 to 796 of the family's 1533-position model. The record is from RNAcentral.